AGUGAACGCUGGCGGUAGGCCUAACACAUGCAAGUCGAACGGCAGCACAGUAAGAGCUUGCUCUUACGGGUGGCGGGUGGGGGACGGGUGAGGAAUACAUCGGAAUCUACUUUUUCGUGGGGGAUAACGUAGGGAAACUUACGCUAAUACCGCAUACGACCUACGGGUGAAAGCAGGGGAUUUUCGGACCUUGCGCGAUUGAAUGAGCCGAUGUCGGAUUAGCUAGUUGGCGGGGUAAAGGCCCACCAAGGCGACGAUCCGUAGCUGGUCUGAGAGGAUGAUCAGCCACACUGGAACUGAGACACGGACCAGACUCCUACGGGAGGCAGCAGUGGGGAAUAUUGGACAAUGGGCGCAAGCCUGAUCCAGCCAUACCGCGUGGGUGAAGAAGGCCUUCGGGUUGUAAAGCCCUUUUGUUGGGAAAGAAAUCCAGCCGGCUAAGACCUGGUUGGGAUGACGGUACCCAAAGAAUAAGCACCGGCUAACUUCGUG
Molecule: ribosomal RNA, 492 nt
Filed under: uncultured bacterium
Lineage: Bacteria
Description: partial 16S ribosomal RNA
Rfam family: Bacterial small subunit ribosomal RNA
Source: RNAcentral